UACAGAGGGUGCGAGCGUUAAUCGGAAUUACUGGGCGUAAAGCGUGCGUAGACGGUUAUUUAAGUCAGGUGUGAAAGCCCUGGGCUUAACCUAGGAAUUGCGCUUGAGACUGGAUAGCUUGGAGUGCGGCAGAGGGAGGUGGAAUUCCACGUGUAGCAGUGAAAUGCGUAGAGAUGGGAGGAACACCGAUGGCGAAGGCAGCCUCCUGGGACAGCACUGACGCUCAUGCACGAAAGCGUGGGGGGCAAACAGG
This 253-nucleotide ribosomal RNA is filed under the name uncultured bacterium. RNAcentral's name for it is "partial 16S ribosomal RNA". It matches the Rfam family "Bacterial small subunit ribosomal RNA", at positions 524 to 776 of the family's 1533-position model. The record is from RNAcentral.